This 442-nucleotide ribosomal RNA is filed under the name uncultured bacterium. Its description in RNAcentral is "partial 16S ribosomal RNA". It matches the Rfam family "Bacterial small subunit ribosomal RNA", at positions 338 to 795 of the family's 1533-position model. The record is from RNAcentral.
CCUACGGGUGGCAGCAGUGGGGGAUAUUGCACAAUGGGGGAAACCCUGAUGCAGCGACGCCGCGUGGGCGAAGAAGUAUUUCGGUAUGUAAAGCCCUAUCAGCAGGGAAGAAGAAUUGACGGUACCUGAGAUAGAAGCACCGGCCAAAUACGUGCCAGCAGCCGCGGUAAUACGUAUGGUGCAACCGUUAUCCGGAUUUACUGGGUGGAAAGGGAGCGCAGGCGGCACGGCAAGCCUGAUGUGAAAGCCCGGGGCCCAACCGCGGGACUGCUUUGGGAACUACCGGGCUGGAGUUCCAGUGAGGUAGGCGGAAUUCCAAGUGUAGCGGUGAAAUGCGUAGAUAUUAGGAGGAACACCAGUGGCGAAGGCGGCCUACUGGACGGUGACUGACGCUGAGGCUCGAAAGCGUGGGGAGCAAACAGGAUUAGAUACCCGGGUAGUC